CGCUUUUUGAAGGUAGACAUGCGCGAGAUGGAGAGAUGGCGGAAGCAGUUAUUCUUCCUUCGGGAAGUGCACGGAUCCAUUCUGUGUUAGACAGAUGACAAUGAUGGGGGAGUGAACUACAGUUAUUUAAAAGGAAACUGCAGAUUUGAGGUAAUCAACAUGAUUAUAUCAGGUGUUGGUGCCUGUGGCUGCUGUGACUGUGGAAUGCAGGGUCCUGGUCCUUUGUUCCAUCCUGCACACCGCGUGAGAGACGAGACAUGCAGAGGCCCAUCCAAGCAGCACAUCCGUCACUGCCACAACAGAGAGAACGAGGACAGAGUGGUUCCAAUUGUGCCGUAUAACAGCUUAAUCAACGCCCAUCAACUACUGCUAGAGUUUCCCGAAAGCCUUGAGACUUACUGCUUGAAGGACUCUCAAUGAAAACCACCCCUGUAACAGCUGUC
This 443-nucleotide long non-coding RNA is filed under the name Salmo salar (Atlantic salmon). Its description in RNAcentral is "lncRNA (ENSSSAG00000120115.1, ENSSSAG00020076657.1, ENSSSAG00075025503.1)". Lineage: Eukaryota; Metazoa; Chordata; Actinopteri; Salmoniformes; Salmonidae. The record is from RNAcentral.